This 402-nucleotide ribosomal RNA is filed under the name bacterium. RNAcentral's name for it is "partial 16S ribosomal RNA". It matches the Rfam family "Bacterial small subunit ribosomal RNA", at positions 355 to 776 of the family's 1533-position model. The record is from RNAcentral.
UGGGGAAUUUUGCACAAUGGGGGAAACCCUGAUGCAGCGACGCCGCGUGAUUUAGAAGGCCUUCGGGUUGUAAAAAUCUUUUCUAUGGGAAGAAAAUGACGGUACCAUAGGAAUAAGGACCGGCUAAUUACGUGCCAGCAGCCGCGGUAAUACGUAAGGUCCGAGCGUUGUCCGGAAUCAUUGGGCGUAAAGGGUACGUAGGCGGGUAAGCAAGUUAGAAGUGAAAUCCUAUAGCUCAACUAUAGUAAGCUUUUAAAACUGCUCAUCUUGAGGUAUGGAAGGGAAAGUGGAAUUCCUAGUGUAGCGGUGAAAUGCGCAGAUAUUAGGAGGAAUACCGGUGGCGAAGGCGACUUUCUGGCCAUAACCUGACGCUGAGGUACGAAAGCGUGGGUAGCAAACAGG